UCUCCGCUGGUGAACCAGCGGAGGGAUCAUUACCGAGUUUACAACUCCCAAACCCCAUGUGAACCUUGCCAAACGUUGCUUCGGCGGGAUGCCCCGGGCGCGGGCCGCAAGGCCUCAGCCCCGGAACCAGGCGCCCGCCGGAGGCCCAAACCAAACUCUUGUUUUUGUAGAAUCUUCUGAGUGGCCUUUUAGGCAAAAAAUGAAUCAAAACUUUCAACAACGGAUCUCUUGGUUCUG
RNAcentral lists this unclassified non-coding RNA (237 nucleotides) under plant metagenome. Its description in RNAcentral is "partial contains small subunit ribosomal RNA, internal transcribed spacer 1, and 5.8S ribosomal RNA". The record is from RNAcentral.